RNAcentral lists this ribosomal RNA (500 nucleotides) under uncultured bacterium. RNAcentral's name for it is "bacterial SSU rRNA". It matches the Rfam family "Bacterial small subunit ribosomal RNA", at positions 791 to 1291 of the family's 1533-position model. The record is from RNAcentral.
UAGUCCACGCCGUAAACGAUGAUUACUCGUUGUUGGCAAUACAUAGUAUGCGGCUGAGCGAAAGCAUUAAGUGAUCCACCUGGGGAGUACGAUCGCAAGGUUGAAACUCAAAGGAAUUGACGGGGGCCCGCACAAGCGGAGGAACAUGUGGUUUAAUUCGAUGAUACGCGAGGAACCUUACCUGGGCUUAAAUGUAGAUUGCAUAAUUUAGAAAUAGAUUUUCCCUUCGGGGCUAUUUACAAGGUGCUGCAUGGUUGUCGUCAGCUCGUGCCGUGAGGUGUCGGGUUAAGUCCCAUAACGAGCGCAACCCCUAUCGUUAGUUGCUAGCAGGUAAUGCUGAGGACUCUAGCGAGACUGCCACCGUAAGGUGAGAGGAAGGUGGGGAUGACGUCAAAUCAGCACGGCCCUUAUGUCCAGGGCUACACACGUGUUACAAUGGCAGGUACAAAGGGCAGCUACACAGCGAUGUGAUGACUAAUCUACUAAACGCCUCGUCCCUA